Pteropus alecto (black flying fox) is the source of this 2812-nucleotide long non-coding RNA. RefSeq lists it as uncharacterized. The transcript has 2 exons. The record is from RefSeq and is a predicted model, not a curated record. NCBI's taxonomy places the organism in Eukaryota, Metazoa, Chordata, Mammalia, Chiroptera, Pteropodidae.
CCGAAUCCAACAGGGUCUGUAUCCGAAGCCAACAGGGUCUGUAUCCGAAGCCAACAGGGUCUGUAUCUGAAUCCAGCAGGGUCUGUAUCUGAAUCCAGCAGUAGACCAGGUUUCUCCAGAAUGUUCACUAAUCUGCAUCUCACUGCCUCAGCCCCAAGGGGAUCCAUGUCCAAACCACCAUGUCAGGGAGUUUGCUCCUAUUAGGAAGGUAUUUGGCCUGAUUUCAAAAAGUGAAUCAUACUCAAGGAGAUGCAUGUAUACAUACCAUUGAUCAAACCAGUGAGUGUAAUCACUGUUAUGUUUAUUAGCAGCCAGAAUGUGCUGGAACAUAGAAAAAGCACAAUUUCUGCCCCCUCAGAGAAGAUGGGCUAUUAAUUACCCAAAACAGCACCAUAUUUCUGAAAGUACUGACUGGAACUGUCACAAGACCAGUUUGGUUUUCAGACUUCUCGCCUCCUUUCCCAUCAUCAAUUUGGGAUUCAAAAGCAGCAACACCCAGAGUGAAAUGCUGAAACCAGUAGAGAAAGUGAUCUCGAAGCCAAUGCACGGUUCCUCUUCCUUUGUUUACAGACAGGUCCUUGGGAAAUAGAUGUGGCUUCUGGUUGGGUAUUUUGUUGUUGUUGGUGGUGGUUUUUAUUUUUUAAACCAUCUUCCUGGGCGAUAGUGCUGAUUAACGAAAAGUCAACACCCGCUUUGGCUCCCCGCCCUCCUCCUCACCAAACAGGAGGGAGCCCUGGCUCCCUCCCUCCCCAGUCAUCCCCACAGUGGUUCCCGAGAUGAGAAAGGAAUGUAAAGCAGCCACUAGAGUCAUGCUGUGGAAAGAUGUGACAACACAGCAGUUCAUCUCUGCUGAAGGCGGAUUGAGAGACCCUUGGACUAUGUCCAGGAAUCGACUUCUCUGCUGCGUGGUUGACUCUGACUGGGACUGCCACCCCGGGUGGGGCAGCAGCCGUGCGCCCGGGCACCGAGUCUCCAAGUUGACUUCCGUAGUGAUGGCCCAAGUUUCCGUCUCCAAAUGUGCAGUUGUGGGAUUUUGCUUUCUCUUGGUUUGGGGGGUUUUGUUUUAGUUCGUGUUUCUUUGGUCUCUGUAAGCCUCUCAAGCCAGAGCAAUUGAUUCAAAACCUGACCUUCCUCCAGGAAAAUGAGAAAAGCAGAAGGCGCUGGAUCUGAACGUGGUCCGCGUUCCUCCCUAUGCAUAGCCUCCAAGUCUUUGACUGUCUUGCCGAAGGCAGGCAGGAGGAGGCUUUUGGCUCCUGUCUCAACCAAGGAGUGGCUUCUUUCAACAGAUGACCACAGCCCAACUUCUCCACAGAUUAUGGUCUCUCCUUAAGAGCCCAGAUUCCGAUGGGAGACCACAAAACCACAUGGAUAAAACUUCAGAAACCCAUUUACAGUUAGAUGCUUGAACUUCAAGCCCAGAGCUAGUCACAUCUUCAUAAGAGUUCAGGAGCUAACUGACUAGUACUAAUCGUGCUAUUGAACAAGUCACUUUACUUCUCUGAGCUUUACUUUCCUCCCCUGUGAACAAGGGUUGUCCUCUCUACCUUGCCUAAGGCAGAGGAGAGUGUCUGGGGAAGAACAGCCCUAUUCUGCAGGAAGGCAUCAGACAACAGGUGUGUGUACAGCAUUUUCCUAGAUGAAACGCUUCCCAGGACUUGGAGAUGAGCUGGUCCUUCCGUGAGCUUUCACUGAGCUGGGAACAUCGUUCUUGCCCAUAUACCACCCAGGCAGUCCAGAACCAGGAAUACUAUGUAUGCCCAGCUUAUGUAUGCUUAAACUCCGGACCUGAGAGAAGCAUCUUCCGAGUGACCGGUCCUGCAUCUGUAAAAAGAAAGAAUUCUUUUUCCCCCUCCUCACUUCCUGGGGAUGAAGAAAAGAAGGCAUUUUCAAUAGAACAUUUUCAAUUCUUCAAAAAUAAGUUGCUUCCAUGCCACAGAGUAGGGACAUACUAGAUUCUCCCGUGCUGGAUAAACUUACUGAACUUAAUAUUGGGCUUCAAAUCCGAACCAAUGUCCAGCCUCCCCAGUUCGGGCAAUUUAUUUUUUGUUCACCUCCUUGUUGAGUCUCCCAAAGAGUUGAACUCUGUGUCUGGACUGUCGAUGACACAGCUUAUGGGCUCUGAAAGCAUCUGGCAUCAUAGUGCCCAAUUUAAGUUCUUACCUGCCGGAUGUGCACAUUAACCACGUGAGUUCUCUCUCGCCUUUUUAAUGGUUGAUCUUCUCAGUACGGCCUCCCAAUUCUUUUUCUUUUUAGUCAGAUUUAAGGCUGGUCAGUAUAGUUAUAGAAUAAAAACCAAAGGAACAUGUGUCACUUUCCAGGCGUGGGGUGCUAAUGUAGUUCCUUUUUCAAAGCCAAUGGCAGCUGUCUGAGGGAGACAGGUGUCUUGUUAACUGUUGGAACAUCUGUCUGUCUGCCCUGUCUUCAUGCAUGGAUUAGCUGCCUAAUACACUGUUUGUCAUGUCCUUCUGGCUCUGCAUUAAGCUGUGUCAUUGACAGUCCAGACAGAGUCAACUCAUUGGGAGACUCAACAAGGUGCUGAACAAAAACUAAAUUGCCCGAACUGGGGAGGCCGGGCAUCGGUUCAGACCUGAAGUCCAAUAUUAAAUUCAGUGAGUUUAUCCAGCACGGGAGAAUCUGGUAUGUCCCUCCUAUGCGGCAUGGAAGCAACUUAUUUUCGAGGAAUUGAAAAUGUUUAUUUCUUAUGUUGAAAAGUGUCUGCGGUUGCUCCUGACCCCCAAGCCAGGGAGUUUCAUUUUCCUUCAAGGCCAUUGUCACUGACAUGUUUCUAUUUAAAAAAAAAAAAAAAAGAAAA